Long non-coding RNA from Poecile atricapillus (Black-capped chickadee), 1411 nucleotides. RefSeq lists it as uncharacterized. The record is from RefSeq and is a predicted model, not a curated record. NCBI's taxonomy places the organism in Eukaryota, Metazoa, Chordata, Aves, Passeriformes, Paridae. The transcript is spliced from 3 exons.
GUGAGAGACAGCUCUUCUAAGUUGAUGUAAUGCUGUUCAGAGAUGUAGGAGGUGAUAAUUUCACUGCUGAGGAUGCUUGAUCCUCCUACCCCCACCUCCACCAAGACAUGGCUGCAAGUUGGAUGCAAAUACCUGCAGUCUGAUGAAAUGCAGUGCUCUCUUCCUGCUAAGGAAGACAAGUGGCAGGUGAUCACAGAGGGUGUGGAGCUGUUCUGCAAAAAGUCAACAGGACAGUUUGGAACACCCCAUGACUUCUCAAGCAGCUGACAACAUGCCACAAAUAUCCACUGCUCUACAAGAGAUGCACCACAGGCCAGUGAAAGCUGCAAGUUUGAAGUCUGGCAUUCCUAAGGAGCUGCUGGAACAAGAUAGGAGCACUUAAUCCUAUCAGGAAGCUGGAAAUCUCACUUCCCAAAGAGCCAUUUUUCACCCAGACUGCUGUAGGAAAACUUUGAUAAAACACUUGAUUGUGGCUGACAGCUAGCUGAGCUCUGUUAGCCAUAACAACAUUUAUAGUGUAGUUUUUUCCCAAACCGAUGAUUUGGAAGAUACUGGUGCAUCAGAUACUCAGCCCACUACAAACAAGGCAAUCUUUAGCAGAUGUUCCGACUAGUCAAACAACAAACAAGCCAUGGGUUGGAAGGGACCUUAAAUAUCAUCUAGUUCCAAAAACACUGUCCUGGGCAGGGAUGUCUCCCACUAGAGCAGAUUGCUCAGAGCCCCAUCCAACCUGGCCUUGAACACUUCCAGCAGAUGAUACUGUGACAUUACUGAGGCACUGGAACAGGUUGCUCAGAGAAGUUGUGGAUGGGGCUCUGAGCAAUCUGCUGGUGUUCCUUCUUGCUUAUCAAAUUGUUCACUCCUGCCCAAAGGGGUCAGUCCCAAUGGUUCCCAUCCUUCCAGCACAUCCCACUGGACCUAAGAUAAUUUAACUCCCCAAAUGACUCUAUUUUUUUGCUGAGAAUUGCUUCUCUGCCACCUUAGCAAAGGAGAUCAGCCAUCAAGGAGUCCAAAGUGUGCCAAAGCAAGUGCAAAGAGAGGUGUGGGGGGAAAAGGCGCUGAAUGAGUUGUUAGGUCAGCUCAAGCCCUGACACGUACCUUUGCCCUCACUCCUGUUUCCAGUGUGACAUAAUAUUAAGGGUGCUGACAAAGGAGCUCUGUCAAGUCUUGUGGCUGCAGUUGGAGGAGACAUCACACCAAAACACAGCUACUCUGCCAGGAGUUGAUACCUGCACAGCAGGCAAAGGAAUGGUACAGCUGCUGAUGCCUCAGCUAUUUCUGUGUAAAACUCAGCUCCCGGUGAAGGUGGAUGUAAAGCUCUGGACUUGGCACUUUUGAAGGGGCUGAGGCAGAAACUCACAUUCUCUUCUGCCAGCGUUGCAGAGGAGAAGUUGAAACCUGCAGCAGAGGG